UCGAGGGGUAUGGGCUUUCGGGCCCGAGACCGGCGCACGGGUGCGUAACGCGUAUGCAAUCUACCUUUUACAGCGGGAUAGCCCAGAGAAAUUUGGAUUAAUACCACAUAGUAUUAUAGGAUGGCAUCAUUUUAUAAUUAAAGUCACAACGGUAAAAGAUGAGCAUGCGUCCCAUUAGCUAGUUGGUAAGGUAACGGCUUACCAAGGCAACGAUGGGUAGGGGUCCUGAGAGGGAGAUCCCCCACACUGGUACUGAGACACGGACCAGACUCCCACGGGAGGCAGCAGUGAGGAAUAUUGGACAAUGGGCGCAAGCCUGAUCCAGCCAUGCCGCGUGCAGGAUGACGGUCCUAUGGAUUGUAAACUGCUUUUAUACAGGAAGAAACCCUUGCUCGUGAGCAAGAUUGACGGUACUGUAAGAAUAAGGAUCGGCUAACUCCGUGCCAGCAGCCGCGGUAAUACGGAGGAUCCAAGCGUUAUCCGGAAUCAUUG
RNAcentral lists this ribosomal RNA (492 nucleotides) under uncultured Bacteroidota bacterium. RNAcentral's name for it is "bacterial SSU rRNA". It matches the Rfam family "Bacterial small subunit ribosomal RNA", at positions 62 to 556 of the family's 1533-position model. The record is from RNAcentral. Lineage: Bacteria; Pseudomonadati; Bacteroidota.